Molecule: long non-coding RNA, 2845 nt
Organism: Triticum aestivum (bread wheat)
Lineage: Eukaryota; Viridiplantae; Streptophyta; Magnoliopsida; Poales; Poaceae
Exons: 5
Source: RefSeq, a predicted model, not a curated record
GCUCUUGGGGGUAAAGGUGAGGAGCCCGAUUGGAUGAGAGAAAACCCAAGUCGACGCUCUCUCUUUCCCCCUCCUCGCCGUCGCUGCAUCCUGGCGUCGUCGUUGCGUCGUCCUCCUCCCCAUCCCACCUCUUCCCUUCCCGUCGCCUACCCUCCCUGCCUCGCCUCUUCUCUCCCUUCCCGUCGCCCACCCUCCCCGCAUCGCCUCUUCUCCUUUGCGUCGCCUAGGUUGGGCAGAGCCGCUGGGCUCAUCUUCCUCGCUGGCCGCCGCUCCCAUCGCCACACCGCACGAGAGGGUGAAGAGGACGAACCAAGGCGCCUCCUACAUCGAGCCCUCCUCAGUUUGUUCCGGAUCUGACCGCACACUUCACGUCCGCCAUCCGUUGUAUGUCGUUCGCUCGGUUGCCGCCAUGGUAACCCUUGCUCAAGUCGUGGAGGGGCGGCUGGUAGCGGUGAAUGGAGGAGAUCCACCACUGGUGGCAAGGAAAACGAGUCAACAUCGAUGCCAUCCGGCGCCUCCGCCCCGCGACCCUAAUGUGAGCUUCUCCUCCAUUGUCGCUGCUACAUCUUCUCCAGCACCUCCUCCCUUCGUCCUCCUCUUCCUCCCCAUCAUGCAUGUGCCCCUCUCUCUCUCUCUCUCUCUCCCUCCCUCUCUCCCUCUCUCUCUCUCUCUCUCUCUCUCUCUCUCUCUCGUGUGCCUCUCCAUCAAUGGCCACUGUGUGAUUUGGUCUUGAUUUGGUAGGAUAAGCAUAAUAUCUGGUCAACAUUUGCUAGGUACAAAAAAACAUCAUUGGCCACUCUUGGUCCAUUGUGAGACUUGCCAUAUAUACAUGGUUGGUAAGAGCAGCAGGUUAAUUUGAUGGGCAUAAGCAUUAGUGAGGUGAAAAAAUGUGUUCAGGUGUUCUGAAAGAAAAAGUACUUAGUUCUUUCCUCAAUACUCAAUGCCUUUUUGUUUUGAUCGGUUACAACAGUUGAUGAAGAAUGAUGCCCAUUGGUUGGCAUUUAUGAUAUAGCUUCCGACGUCGGAGGUUCCAUAGAAUUUGUGAAGAGAAGUACAUCAAUAGAAAGACCUUUCUUCUGAUAUAUAGCUGUGGCGCAGACGGCAACCAACUUCAACCAGCUUCAGAGUACUCUGCUACCCUAUUUCUCCUUGUCGCUGCCUACUCGGCUUCGUUUGGCAUUAUUUCCAUAGGUACUUAUCGAUGUAGAUUGGGCAUGGAUUGUUGCCUCACAUUUCUUUCAAGCAGUCACGACUUUGGCUGGUUGGGGGUUUCUUGUCUGCUCAGUUUUGUGCAGCCUGUACUUGGCCUAGCGCUCGCUGAGAACCAGAAGCUAGGGCCAUUCAUGUAGCUGCUACCCAUGUGCAGCAAGCUGCUCAACCAAGGUGAGAUAUGCUAAUCUCCCAGUUACUGCUUUGUCAGCUGGAUGGUGUGAUUUUACUUCAUUAGUGGGAGUGGGAGUGUUGUUCCUCUGUCCAAGGGAUUCACUAUCUUCAGUGAGUGCAAUCAUUUUGUUUAAAUGGAGGUGUUAGAUCUAAAUUUACAUUGACUGCAUCACACUCUAAUGUCUUUUGGUUAGAUCAACCUGUAGAACAAACUAUAUGCUGGCCAUCAUCAUGUUUUAGCCUUUUAGGUAUAUUAGAUAAGUAUAUCUAAGAAAUGGCUAGUGUCUUGUGAGGAUUGAGAAAAGUAGUGGUUUGUGUUACUGUGAAUGAUCAUACAAAUUAUGUUGGAUUUGGUUCUUAUGUGCAUAUGCUUUUUGAUAUCUUCCUUUGGCCGGUUAGUGUCUAUCCAUUAUAUUAUUAUAUUGUGUCUAUGGUGAAAACUAACCUAACAGGUGUUGGGGAACGUUGCAUGGAAAACAAAAAAAAUCCUACGCACACGCAAGAUCUAUCCAUGGAGAUGCAUAGCUACGAGAGGGGGAGAGCAUCUACAUAACCUUGUAGAUCGCUAAGCGGAAGCGUUUAUCAACGCGGUUGAUGUAGUCGCACAUCUUCACGAUCCGUCCCGAUCAAGUACCGAAUGUACGUCACCUCUGCGUUCAGCACACGUUCAGCUCGAUGAUGUCCUCGCUUUCUCGAUCCAGCAAAAGAGACGAAGUAGUAGAUUAGUUCCGACAGCACGACGGAGUGGGGAUGGUGGUGGUGAAACUAUCCGUAGGGCUUUGCCAAGCACAACAGACUUGGACGGAGGAGGGACUAGAACUAGAUGGAGAGGGGGCGCCGCACACGACUUGGGGAUCGUGGUGUGUGUUGCCCUCUCCCUCCUCUCAUAUAUAUAGGUGGGGGGAGCAGGGCUGCCCUAGGGCACGCCCAAAGGAGGGCCGGCGUCCACCUUGGGCGCCUGCCCUAGGCACCCCUUUCCUUCCUAGGGGGUGUCGGAGAUGGCAGGAGGGGGGCCGAAGGCUCUCUACCUUAGGGGAUUUGUUAAGUUUUGUGUGAUUGAAGUUUUUUCAAGUUUUGGGUGAGAUGACGAUGGAUGAAGGAAUAAGGAGUGAAAAUAGCCUAAGCUUGGGAUGCCCCAUGGCACCCCAAGUUAUUAUCCAAGGAGAACCAAUCAACUAAGCUUGGGGAUGGCCCGAAAGGCAUCCUGAUGUCUAUUAUGCAACUUUAUUCUUGUAGACUCGUGUUGGGCCUCCAAGCGCAAAGUUUUGUAGGACGGUAGCAUUUUUCCCUCAAGUGGAUGACCUAAGGUUUAUAAAUUUGUGGGAGGUGUAGGAUGAAGAUGGUCUCUCUCAAACAACCCUGCAACCAAAUAAUAAAAAGUCUCUUGUGUCCCAAACACAUCAAAUACAAUGAUAAUUUGUAUAGGCGCACUAGUUCGGUGAAGAGAUGGAAAUAAAAGCAU